Long non-coding RNA from Homo sapiens (human), 1114 nucleotides. Ensembl annotates it as long intergenic non-protein coding RNA 470. The record is from Ensembl. Lineage: Eukaryota; Metazoa; Chordata; Mammalia; Primates; Hominidae.
CUUCAGGUUACAUGUUUUGAGUUCUGCACAAAAUAUUUGAAUGGGUGCUUCAUAAAAGAUGAUAUAUGAGGACUUGGGGCAGAACAAGAUGGCAGAAUAGAAGGCUCCGCCAAUUGUCCCUGCUUCAAGGACACCAAUUUAACAACUAACUACAUAAAAUAGCACCUUUAUAAGAACCAAAAAUCAGGCACUUAAACACGCAGCAUGAGGAAAAUGGAACAACAAUCUUGAGGUGCCUUCUGAAUCAUCAGAUUAAAUUAUGCUUCGGUCUUGCACUGCUGCCUAGGCUAGAGUGCAGUGGUGCAAUCAGGGCUCACUGCAGCCUCACUCAACUUCCCAGUCUCAAGCCAUCCUCCUACCUCAGCCUCUGUUCCACUAAUCUACUUGUCAAUUUUUCCAGCAACACCACACCCUCCUGAUCACCAUAGCUUUAUGCAACAACAAGAAACAAAUUUAUUAGCUAACCUAACCACUAAUGACGCAAGAGACAAUUCUAAGGACUUUCAAAACAGCAAAGUAGGAGCAGCUGCUACCUCUAGGGAUGAGGGAGAAACUCAAAAAUGCAUACAAAAACCAUUGCAUGAAAAGUGACUGGAUUUGUACAUAGCGUCAGGAGAUGUGCGUAGUGUCAAAGUAUCUCAUCACACAUUACUUGAUAAUUACAAAUGAGAAAAAUGAACCUUCACAGUGGCAAGACUUGACUUCUACCUCUUUCAAAAAGAUGCAAUUGUCCAAUUAUUGGUGAAAUUGUCAUUUCAUGCUAUUGGCUAUUUGAAAUUCCUCCUCUAAUUUCAGAAUAAAUCACUGAAAUUGACAUCGGCCAGUCUGAAUUUCAAGAAAUUACCUGCUGAAGACAAGAGGGAUCUCUUCUUCAGAUUUGCAGUCUGGGGAAGACACAGCCUCUACUGUACUUUAGAACCUGAGAUAUGGUGGUGGAGGGAGCCCUGGGUCGAGUGGUAAGAUUCACCCUUAGGUUAGUAUUGACGUAAGGUGACGAGGAGCUGUAGACAAAAGAUUGUAACCAUAAGAACUUCAUAGUUUUUGUAUUUUCACCGAGCUUAUAUUUGGUGUGUUUUUUGUCUUUUCUUUAUGAUUAUCAAUAAAAUGCUUGAAA